GGCGAACGACAGGGGAGCGUCGGACCCGCACGGGUCUGGACGCUGAGAGUGCGGACCACCGCAGACCCUCGAACCUGAUCCGGUUGGUACCGGCGUAGGGAGUCGGGCUUCUCAGUCC
This 118-nucleotide non-coding RNA is filed under the name Cellulomonas sp. RNAcentral describes it as "TPP sequence". It matches the Rfam family "TPP riboswitch aptamer (THI element)". Rfam says of the family: Vitamin B(1) in its active form thiamin pyrophosphate (TPP) is an essential coenzyme that is synthesised by coupling of pyrimidine and thiazole moieties in bacteria. The record is from RNAcentral. RNAcentral also lists the same sequence under 1 other name. Lineage: Bacteria; Bacillati; Actinomycetota; Actinomycetes; Micrococcales; Cellulomonadaceae.